UUUAGAACGAAAGUCAGAAAUUUUCUGUAAAGGACCAAGUAGUAAACGUUUAAACUUUGGGCCAUACAGGUUCUGUUUUAGCUGUUCCACUUGGCCUUUGUAGCUCAAAAGCAGCCACAGACAACAGUAAACAAAUGCGUGUGGCUGUGCUCCAAUAAAACUUUAUUUACAAAAACAAGUGGUGGGCCAGAUUUGGCCCUUGGGCUGUAGUUUGUUCUCCCAACUUUGGAAAAAAGGGCAGACAUCAGGGUGGCGAGGGUUCUGGAGGUGGAGGCCAGUGUGGAUGGGUAAAAGAACCAGGUGGGGCUCAGUGGGGAGAGGUAGGCAUACCCCCUCAGUGGCCCCAGAUGGAGAGCCAUGUGGGGGAAAGUGAGAAGGGGGCUUAUUUUCAUCCAUGCCAGGGAAGACCCCCAUAAAACAACAAAGGAGUGAUUCUGCAUUAUCCGAGGCUAGGGAUGGGGGGACUGGGCCUGGUGAUCUUCCACACCUUGGCCUCUGCCUCCUGGAAUGGCCCUGUCUUCCCAUCCUUCCCUGUCCCAGCACUGGGCUGGGACAUUCUGCCUACAUAGUGAGACAUGAAUAAUACCCUGGAGGCACAGCCACAAUCCCUUCAAUGAUGAGGCUCGAGGAAUCAAGGAGGCAUUUGUAAGGCUGGCUUGAUGAGAGACUUCAGCAAGCCCUGAGGGGCUGGGGAGGCCUCUGGCUGCCGAUUAUCCUCCCUACCAUAUGGGUGAUGGAAAGCUGGCUCUUCGGGUGGGAGGCCUGGCCCAGAGCUGGGCUCUCAGAGCCUGGUUUGUGCCUUGGGGUUCCCCUCUGGUCCAAAUGGUAGUAGGCAGUAGGAUGAAUUAAUUCCUCUGGUCCUUUCCAGCAUAGGCAUCCUGGGACCACGGAGCAGCCACCAACGACUACAGAUGAAACACAAGCCUCUCCGGUCACUUUUUGCUGGCCGUUGGAAGGAGGCUGUUGAGUGGGAGUGGAACCUCCAGGUUUCCUGGGGCACUAUUCUGGAUCCCCUCAUCUCAGCUCUGUGAGGUCAUGGCUAAGCCUGAAACAGGUCCCAACUCAUUCAAUCUUGCCAUAAACCUAUGAAAUGGGUGUCAGCCAUGAGGCUUUGGUUGCAAAUAACAGAAACCCCAACUUAACUGUCAUAUGGAAGCAGAGAAGCAACUGACUCUUUGCCAGAGGCUUAUGUCAUGACUCCAAGUAGUGAGGGGGUGGCUGUUCAGGUCAAAGGAUUAGCAACAAUGACUGGCUUAAACAACGAAAAACUGCAUCUAUGAUCUUAGCAACAACAUUCAGUAACAUUAGGUAUCACCAGGGAGGAGGACGCCACCUCCCUGGUGAUAGCUGAUUGGACCAGAGGGAAGCCCCAGUCCCAGGGCAGCCAAUCAGCAGCCUGCAAGCAGCCAAUGAGAUGGCCUGGAGGGGGAGUUCUGCCCAAUCACAAUACCAAUAAAUAAGAGGUCCAGGCUGGAUCUCUGUCUUGGAGAUUUGAGCCGGAGAUUUGAGCGAGAGAUUUGGAAGAAAUGUGGGGCAAUCUGUAGAAGGAGCAGAAGACAAAAAUCACACUGAAGGCAGUGAGUGGAGGAGCUUGUGCUGCAGGAUACAGAAGCCAGGAGAGAGUGAGGCGCAGGCAGAGCCAGCCUGGCGAGGACUAAGCCAUGUUUAAAGCCAUGAAUGGAAGGUUCUCUGUCCCCAGAAGUGAAGCAGGACUUUCCCAGUCCCCAGUUUGUUCUGGUCUUUAGAAGCUGGCGAGUGGCCAGCCAUGAAGGCCAUGCCAAGUGACUGGCAUGGCUGAGUUGCUAUCCUUAUAUGUGGCCUCCCAUCUGCCCCUCGCCUUCACUGGAGAGGCAGCAAGGAGGGCAUUGAAGCCUGAAAUUCUGAAGAAUUUUCUUGCAGGAUUAUGGUGUGGCGUAAGCCAGGCUUCUUGGGCCAGGUUCUCUCUCUACAGGGCAUCUCUGGGGAAUGUGUGAGUGCUGGGAGUGGUACCUAGGUCUCUAGGCCCCCUGGACUUUCCAGUGCCAUCCCUAAACUGGGGAGUCUUUCCUGAGCCUGAAUGAGAGUGCUUUGGUCGGCUAAGGCCAGGGAAUCAGCCCCAAAGCAGUGUUUCGGGAGGAAUGGGCUGCCAGCCUCAUCCUCUGCCCUGGCCCAAACCAGGAUUGUCAGUAUGGGGUGUAGACAGAAGGAAGAGAGAGUGCGGAGGCCCAACGGGGUCUCCAGAGUAUGGGCCACCUGUGCCUCUUUUCUGCCUCCCACCCUCACCUGCAUUUCACUGGGGGCCCCUGAGUUUCUCAGACAACAGAGACCAUCCAAAUACCUUGUAACUGAGGGUGCAGUCAUUGGAGUCCCAUCAAACUCCCAAGUCCACCAUCUACUGUGAGUCAGGCAAGUCACCUAACCUCCCUGAGCCUCCAUUUUUUCAUCAGUGAAAUGGGAGUGAUCAUAGUGCCUCCUACACAGAGCAGGGGAAUUCAAUGAGUCCCCACUUGUGAAGCGCAUGAACCUGUGCCUGGCACACGGCACAUGUGGAUUAGACACCUCCUGUAAGCAGGGGCUCAGGGAAGGGAGCCAGGAAAGAGGGAUGUAGAGAAGACAGGGGGCAGAGAGAAACGUUAAAAGAAGAAGAAGGAGGGGAGAAGGGUGUGAAGAGGCCAGAGAGGAAAUGGGUCUCCCUGGGGUGUUGGCCUUGACCUCUCAGGCCUGGCUCAGGUCUGACUUUCUUGUUCUUUCUUCCCCCAUAUAAUCUCUCUCUGGAAUGCUGAGAAAUUCUGCUUCCACCCCCCAGCAGUUGCCAUGGUGAUGAAAACCUGGACCCAGUGGAAAGUUCUCUGUGCUCUUGGCAACAAGGCUGCAGCACCCUGCCUCCCCCCGCCUGCCUGUGCGUGGGCGGCCAGCUCCGGAUGCUGCCAGGAUUUGGGGCCAGCACGGCCUGUCUGCAAGACCCAGCCCUGCCCCCAUAGAAUCUAGGAUGGGAGCUUCGGCAUAUCUGGUGCUGGGGGCUCCCAGAGAAUAUCUAGCCAGUCCCAUUUUACGGAUGGGGCACUGGGCCAGAGAGGAUCGGUGGCUUGUCCAAAGCUGCACAGACCCCCUGGGGUCUCCCUCCUGGGCUCAGCUGUGAUCAGGUGGGCACGGAGCACCCGGAAACAUCGCAGACAGGGGACUAGCCACAUGGCAGACCAGUCCCAGAAAGCAGGCCAGCUGCUGGAGCCAGGGAGAUGCAGAAGACAAAGGGACUCCAGGAAGCUGGACACUGCCUUCCUCUUCUCUCCCAGACACAGUGGUGGGUGGGUGCGAAGGAGUGAAUGCUUGUGUCCCUCUACAAUUCACAUGCAGAAGCCCCAGGCACUAGUGUGAUGGUAUUUGGGGUGGGGCCUUUGGGGGUGAUUAGGGCAUGAGGGAGGAGCCCUCACAGUGGAAUUAGUGCUGUUGUGAGAAGAGACAGGAGAGAUGAUCCCUCUACCACGCGAGGGUGCCUGCAACCAGGGAGAAGGCCCUCCGCAGCCCGACCAUGCUGGUACUCUGAUCUUGCAGACUUUAGAGCUGCAAUAAAUCCAUACUUAUUGUCGAAGCUGCCUUGUGCACAGUAAUGAGUUACAGCGUCCUGAGCUGACUCAGACAGUCAAUUUGUGGGGGUGCUGAGUUUGCUCCACUCUCAGCAGCCCCAGCUCUCAGACUAAGUGGAAGGGCACAAGCCAGCCAUUUUUUUUUUUUUUUUUUUGAGACAGAAUCUCACUCUGUCGCCCAGGCUGGAGUGCAGUGGCAUGAUCUCAGCUCACUGCAGCCUCUGCCUCCUGGGUUCAAGUGAUUCUCCUGCCUCAGCCUCCUGAGUAGCUGGGACUACAGGCGCAGGCCACCACGCCCAGCUAAUUUUUUUUUUUUUUUUUUGAGACGGAGUCUUGCUCUGUCGCCCAGGCUGGAGUGCAGUGGCGCAAUCUCGGCUCACUGCAAGCUCCGCCUCCCAGGUUCACGCUAUUCUCCUGCCUCAGCCUCUCGAGUAGCUGGGACUACAGGCACCCGCCACUGCGCCCAGCUAAUUUUUUGUAUUUUUUAGUAGAGACGAGGUUUCACUGUGGUCUCAAUCUCCUGACCUCAUGAUCUGCCCGCCUCGGCCUCCCAAAGUGCUGGGAUUACAGGCGUGAGCCACCGCGCCCAGUCAAUUUUUGUAUUUUUAGUAGAGACGAGGUUUCAGCAUGUUGGCCAGGAUGGUAUUGAUCUCCUGACCUCGUGAUCCACCCACCUCAGCCUCCCAAAGUGCUGGGAUUACAGGUGUGAGCCACUGCUCCCAGCCAAGCCAGCCUUUAGCAACCUCCCUGCCAGGGUCCUGGGGGCCCCUAUUUGUUUCCCCUCCUCUUUUUCCUCCUCCUCAGCAGGCUGAACGUUGGUCCUGAAGUUUGCUUCCAGCAGAGGCCAACGGCCUCCCUUUAAGGCUGACACAGCAAGAAGACAGUUAUCUGUGAGCCAGGAAACAGGCCCUCACCAGACACCAGAGCUGCCAGCACCUUGAUUUUGGACUUUCCAGCCUCCAGAAUUUCUGUUGUUUAUAAACCACUUAGUUUAUGAUAGUUUACUAUAGUAGUCUGAAUGAACUAAGAUACCAUGUUUUCAAAACUUCUCUUUCUCUGUUUCUUCUUGAGUGAGGGACUCACUCUGUUGCCCAGGCUGGAGUGCAGUGGCACGAUCAUGGCUCACUAUAGCCUCGACCUCCUGGACUCAGGGAAUCUUCCAGUCUCAGCCUCCCGAGUAGCUGGGAUCACAGGCGCACACCACCACAACUGGCUACUUUUUCAUAUUUUUG
RNAcentral lists this long non-coding RNA (4795 nucleotides) under Homo sapiens (human). RNAcentral describes it as "HSALNT0378668". Lineage: Eukaryota; Metazoa; Chordata; Mammalia; Primates; Hominidae. The record is from RNAcentral.